GUUGUUGUUAUUGUUGCUAUUUCUUGGGCCGCUCCCGCGGCAUAUGGAGGUUCCCAGGCUAGGGGUUGAAUCGGAGCUGUAGCCACCGGCCUACGCCAGAGCCACAGCAACGCUGGAUCCGAGCCGUGUCUGCAACCUACACCACAGCUCACGGCAACGCCGGAUCGUUAACCCACUGAGCAAGGGCAGGGAUCGAACCCGCAACCUCAUGGUUCCUAGUCGGAUUCGUUAACCACUGCGCCACGACGGGAACUCCAAUUUUAUCUUUCUAAUACUAAUCCAUAUUCAAUUUCCUCAGUCAUCCCUAAAAUGUCCUAUACAUCUGGUUUAAACUAUUCACACAUUACAUCAUAAUAAUUUUCUCUUCUGGAGUUCCCAUCGUGGUGCAGCUGAAACUUAUCUGACUAGAAACCAUGAGGUUGUGGGUUCGAUACCUGGCUUUGCUCAGUGGAUUAAGGAUCUAGUGUUGCCAUGAGCUGUGGUGUAGGUCACCGACAAGGCCAGAUCCCGAGUUGCUGUUGCUGUGGCUGUGGCACAGGCCAGCAACUACAACUCUCAUUAGACCCCUACCUAGCCUGGGAACCUCCAUAUGCUGUGGGUACGGCCCUAAAAAGACCAAAAAAAAAAAAAAAAAAAAGUUUCCUCUUCUAAAAUAGUAACAGUUUGGAGUUCCUAUGCAGAUUAGUGGGUUAAGGACCUGGCAUUGCCAUUGCAGCAGCUCGGGUUGCUCCUAUGGCACAGGUUUGACCCCUGGCCCCGUUUCUGUGUAACAAGUGCAGCCAAAAAGUAAUUGAAAAAAUUAAAGGUCAGAUGUGCUAUGGGCUGUGCCACCUUUUAGAUUUUUCUGGAUACUCUUUUAUGGUGUUGAUUAGUUUUCCCCCGCUUUUCCAUAUUGCUUAUCAACUGGAAAUGAAAGUUUUAUGGAGCCACCUAUGAUGUAUAGUUUUAUGGCUAUACAUCAUAGGUGGUGUUGUUUACCUCAUUUCUGUAGCACAUCAGAAAACAUGUAACAUUUGGUUGUCCUACCAUUAGUGAUGCUAAGAUCAACCACUAGCUGAAGGUGAUCCCAUGAUGGGACAGUUACAGCUCUCCCUUCCAGCUAGGAAAUAAUCUGAAUGGUAUCACUUUGGCUCUAUAUGAACAGUUUCCCAUCACCUUGAUGCUUUCAACACCGUUGAUAAUUGUUGCCUGACUUUAACGGUGCUGUAAAUUGUUGAUUUGCUAUCAACCUUACUACAUUAUUGGGAGAUACUGUUUAGUAAAAUAGAGAUUUUUUUUCCCUCCUCAUCUGGGACCAUUUGGUUACCACACACACACACACACACACACACAUCAAAUUAAGGAGCUAGUUUAGUUUAAUAGCUGCUUGGGUCCAAUUUCAAGAGAGUGAGCGUUUUCUGGAAGAGUCUAGUGGUUGGAGGAGAACUAAACAAUGCCAAAAAGUUUGGCCACACUGGGCACAGGCAUGAUCGGCAACCAGAAAUAUUCCACUAAGAAUCUAAAAUCUGGCUCAGACGAACCUAUCUGCAAAACAGAAACACACUCGCAGACGUGGACAGCAGAAUUGUAGUUGCCAAGGAGGAAGGGGAUGGACUGGAAGUUUGGGGUUAGUAGAUGCAAACUGUUAUGUUAAGGCAAUGUGGUCCUGCAGUAUAGCACAGGGAACUAUGUCCAAUCACUUGUGAUGGAACAUGACUAAAGAUAAUACGAGAAAAAAAAAUGUAUAUAUCAUAUAUGACUGGGUCGCAUUGGUGUAUAGCAGAAAUCAACAGGACAGUAUAAAUCUACUAUAAUAAAAAAUUUUAAUUACAUAUAAAUAUUCCACUGAAAACAGUAACCAUGUUAAGUGUUGACCUCAGCUAAUUAUAAUUUUCACAUCUGACCCUCAAGCCACAGUCCUGUAUUGCAUUUCUAUGAGCUCAAGCAGUUCUUGAAAAGUUCAAACAGUGAUAACAAUCACUUCGUUAUGAUAGGAUACACUCUGUUGCCUCUCAAAAAAGAGCUUUCAGUAAGCAGAGGCAGAGCUCUUCUAGAUAAUGGACUCUCAACAACCAGGAGCACUGUAUCAAGCUAUGGGGUAAUGGUUCUUUGUAUUGAGUCUGACAUGUGAUGUAGGACUUUAGAAAGGGUUAGUUAUUUCUAAGGACACCAUGGCAUGUUCAACAGUAUCUCUCAUCCACGUGCUUUUCUUAUACCAGGGGUGUGGCCAAAAAAAUAGUAAUAAAAUAAGUAGCUUUAAAAGAAAAAUGUGUGCACUUUGGAACUCUCAUAGGUUGGAAUCCUGGUUCUACCACUUAAUGGCUGAGCAACCUUGGAUAAGUUACUUUACAUCUCCCCAUCUUUAUAAUAUAGACCUCAUUUGACUGUCAUAAGAAUCACCUAACACAUGUAUUUAACAGGAUGCCUAACAUACAUAAAUUCUCAGUAAAUGUUAGCUCUUGUUAUUAAAUGUUAAAUGAGCAACCUUUUCUUAUCUCAGUUUAAUUUCAUCUUAUUGUUUCCAAGCCAGGGCCGCAGCCUGUCAAGAUAAUUUUUAAUCUUGAUUCUGUGGUCUUCCUUUUAGAUUUCUGUUAUCUUCUCCUUGACAAGCAUGCCUACUCGUUCUUUCAGUCACAAAGUUAGGCAAGGUCUGUGGCUUUGGCACCAAUAGAGAUAGCCCUAAUCUGUGAAGAUAAUUUUGUGCAGGAGGUUGACUCUGAAAGGAGGGGUAAAGGAACCACAAAGGAUCCUGUCCUUAUGGAGUUCAAAGUCUAAUGACCUCUUUCACAAAUGAAAAAAAGAAAAAAAGGGUCACUGCAACACUACUCAAGGUCCCCUCUAUGACAAUUUAGUUUUAAAAGGAUAAAUGAGAUACAAAGAAAUGUUGACCUCUACAUUUUAUAGAUUAAUAGACAACUGAGGCUCAGGCCAUUUUUUAAGGACUUGCUUAUUAGGCUUAUAGAGCUAAUAAAGGACAGAGUGAGGCCAUGAACCUAUUAUUUCUCACUCCAAAUUCUACACUCCUUCCCCCUCAGCCCUCUUCUUUCUAAGGGUAUGGAAACCAAAAUGGAAAAGAGCUUCCUAUGAACUCAAGUGAUCACACAGCUGGCAUACAGUUCUGCUUGCCACAUCUCAGAACCUGAAAAGCCAUAGAAAAAGAAUGAUUAAAUGAUGAAAGAGGAGUUCCCGUCUUGGCGCAGUGGUUAACGAAUCCGACUAGGAACCACGAGGUUUCGGGUUUGGUCCUUGCCCUUGCUCAGUGGAUUCACGAUCUGGCGUUGCCGUGAGCUGUGGUGUAGGUUGCAGAUGCAGCUCAGAUCCCGCAUUGCUGUGGCUCUGGCGUAGGCUGGCAGCUACAGCUCCGAUUAGACCCCUAGCCUGGGAACCUCUAUAUGGUGCAGGAGUGGCCCAAGAAAUGGCAAAAAGAUGAAAAAAAAAAAAAAAAAGAUGAAAGAAAUUAGGGUCUUUGGUGAAAGAAGUGCAACUUCAUUAAAAUAAACUUAAAAAAAUAAGACAGAAUAUUAGAACUCUUCAGCCUAGAAAUAUUACAACUGAGGAAAAAAAAUUCUAUCAAAUGCAGACUGAUAGAACUAAGGUUGACAGGCACUGUCCACUAUAAUCUAGUUGGCACCUUUCAAAGUCUUGUAAAAGUACUUCUUCACAAAGCAGAGAUUAUCAACCUCUGUAUUUUCAUGAAGUAGCCAGAAAUAUUCAGGCAGGCAUUCUUCAUAUCAUUAAGUUUCUGGAAAAUAUUAUAAAUUCAUCACUAGAAAUUAAAUUGUUUUCCCAUUGUUUCCCAUUUCCCAGCAGUAUGAUGAAGGGUCCUGACCAAGAGAUAAUUGUGUUAAAUAAAUCAGAUAUGGCCAACAUGUGUUAAAAUCCAAUUCUAUGACUUCAAAACUUCCUAUUCACCAAAAAUAAGAGGGUCUAUAUGUACCACAUCCUGGUGGUAUAAGAGGUCUCCAUUUACUCUAAGAGCUAUAUAAAAAUAUACACAAUUUGAUUAUAUUCAAUAUUAAAGUUCCAUCAUAUAUACUUCUUUUAAACUAACAGUUAAAAUUAACUUUGCCCACCUUUAGAAUUUAGAAGGGCUUUUAUUGAUGUAUAGUGAGACAAGUUUAAAAAAAAAAAAAAAAAAAAAGCUGUCCGGGAGCUCCCUGGAGGCCUAGUGGUUAAAGAUUCCAUGUUGUCACUGCUGUGGCUCACAUUUGAUCCCUGGCCUGGGAACUUUUGCAUGCCACAGGCAUGGAUCAAAAAAAUAAAUAACUGUCCAGACUGGUUGAAAUAAUCUGAAUCACCAGCUUGCUGAAUCGUCUAUUACCUGAACUAUACUACUUUUUACCUAUAAAAUUUAUUGGUAUUGCUGAAAAAUUCUCAAAGGGGCAGCUGAACAUAGAUGUGAAAUGACAGUGAUUGAGUUGUGGCAGCCUGUAUGUCCUUCCCAAGUGUCAGUCCCACUUGAGUAUAGAGGCCCUCUCAAAUGGAACUGCCCCACUUCUCCUAAAGAUCUAUAUUGCCAUCAAAAGUACUUAUAUAGGAGUUCCUGCUGUGGCACAGUGGAAAUGAAUCCGACUAGUAUCCAUGAGGAUGCAGGUUUGAUCCCUGGCCUCAGGUGGGUUGGAGAUCUGGUGUUGCCGUGAGCUGUGGUGUAGGUAACAGACUUGGCUCAGAGCCCACGUUGCUAUGGCUGUGGUGUAGGCUGGCAGCUGUAGCUCCGAUUUGACCCCUAGCCUGGGAACUUCCAUAUGCUGCAGGUGCGACCCUAAAAAGAAAAAAAAA
This 4758-nucleotide long non-coding RNA is filed under the name Sus scrofa (pig). Its description in RNAcentral is "lncRNA (ENSSSCG00000053560.1)". The record is from RNAcentral. Lineage: Eukaryota; Metazoa; Chordata; Mammalia; Artiodactyla; Suidae.